GCCUGGAUGGCUCAGUCAGUUGAACAUAUGACUUUGGCUCAGGUCAGGAUCUCAUGGUUUGUGGGUUCGAGCCCCAUCUCAGGCU
This 85-nucleotide transfer RNA is filed under the name Felis catus (domestic cat). It matches the Rfam family "tRNA". Rfam says of the family: Transfer RNA (tRNA) molecules are approximately 80 nucleotides in length. Their secondary structure includes four short double-helical elements and three loops (D, anti-codon, and T loops). Lineage: Eukaryota; Metazoa; Chordata; Mammalia; Carnivora; Felidae. The record is from Rfam by way of RNAcentral.